Molecule: non-coding RNA, 107 nt
Organism: Acanthosepion pharaonis
Lineage: Eukaryota; Metazoa; Mollusca; Cephalopoda; Sepiida; Sepiidae
Source: the annotation of a GenBank genome assembly
ACAGCCAUAUUGCAUUGAAACAUCUGUUCCUGAAGAAUCACUGAAGUUAAGCAAUGUUGAGCUGGGUCAGUACCUAGAUGGGUGACCAUUUGGGAAUACCACAUGCU